RNAcentral lists this ribosomal RNA (483 nucleotides) under Flavobacterium sp. DB1.1-6. RNAcentral's name for it is "bacterial SSU rRNA". It matches the Rfam family "Bacterial small subunit ribosomal RNA", at positions 13 to 497 of the family's 1533-position model. The record is from RNAcentral. Lineage: Bacteria; Pseudomonadati; Bacteroidota; Flavobacteriia; Flavobacteriales; Flavobacteriaceae.
UUGAUCCUGGCUCAGGAUGAACGCUAGCGGCAGGCUUAACACAUGCAAGUCGAGGGGUAUUAAUCUUCGGAUUAAGAGACCGGCGCACGGGUGCGUAACGCGUAUGCAAUCUACCUUUCACAGAGGGAUAGCCCAGAGAAAUUUGGAUUAAUACCUCAUAGUAUAACGACCUGGCAUCAGGAUGUUAUUAAAGUCACAACGGUGAAAGAUGAGCAUGCGUCCCAUUAGCUAGUUGGUAAGGUAACGGCUUACCAAGGCUACGAUGGGUAGGGGUCCUGAGAGGGAGAUCCCCCACACUGGUACUGAGACACGGACCAGACUCCUACGGGAGGCAGCAGUGAGGAAUAUUGGACAAUGGGCGCAAGCCUGAUCCAGCCAUGCCGCGUGCAGGAUGACGGUCCUAUGGAUUGUAAACUGCUUUUAUACGAGAAGAAACACUCCUUCGUGAAGGAGCUUGACGGUAUCGUAAGAAUAAGGAUCGGC